This 243-nucleotide ribosomal RNA is filed under the name uncultured bacterium. RNAcentral describes it as "partial 16S ribosomal RNA". It matches the Rfam family "Bacterial small subunit ribosomal RNA", at positions 355 to 589 of the family's 1533-position model. The record is from RNAcentral.
UAGGGAAUCUUCCACAAUGGACGCAAGUCUGAUGGAGCAACGCCGCGUGAGUGAAGAAGGUUUUCGGACCGUAAAGCUCUGUUGUUGGUGAAGAAGGAUAGAGGUAGUAACUGGCCUUUAUUUGACGGUAAUCAACCAGAAAGUCACGGCUAACUACGUGCCAGCAGCCGCGGUAAUACGUAGGUGGCAAGCGUUGUCCGGAUUUAUUGGGCGUAAAGCGAGCGCAAGGCGGAAGAAUAAGUC